GAAAUGCGAUAAGUAAUGUGAAUUGCAGAAUUCAGUGAAUCAUCGAAUCUUUGAACGCACAUUGCGCCCGCCAGUAUUCUGGCGGGCAUGCCUGUUCGAGCGUCAUUUCAACCAUCAAGCCCCCGGGCUUGUGUUGGGGACCUGCGACUGCCGCAGGCCCCGAAAACCAGUGGCGGGCUCGCUGUCACACCGGGCGUAGUAGAUUUUUCGUCUCGCCCAGGGCGUGCUGCGGGUUCCGGCCGUUAAAAAGCCUCUCUUUUAACCCAAGGUUGACCUCGGAUCAGGUAGGAAGACCCGCUGAACUUAAGC
RNAcentral lists this unclassified non-coding RNA (309 nucleotides) under plant metagenome. RNAcentral's name for it is "partial contains 5.8S ribosomal RNA, internal transcribed spacer 2, and large subunit ribosomal RNA". The stretch from base 1 to 105 matches the Rfam family "5.8S ribosomal RNA", at positions 50 to 154 of the family's 154-position model. The record is from RNAcentral.